GACGAACGCUGGCGGCGUGCUUAACACAUGCAAGUCGAACGGUAAGGCCCUUCGGGGUACACGAGUGGCGAACGGGUGAGUAACACGUGGGUGAUCUGCCCUGCACUUCGGGGUAAGCCUGGGAAACUGGGUCUAAUACCGGAUAGGACCACUGCCUGCAUGGGUGGUGGUGGAAAGCUUUUGCGGUGUGGGAUGGGCCCGCGGCCUAGCAGCUUGUUGGUGGGGUGAUGGCCUACCAAGGCGACGACGGGUAGCCGGCCUGAGAGGGUGACCGGCCACACUGGGACUGAGAUACGGCCCAUGCUCCUACGGGAGGCAGCAGUGGGGGAUCUUGCACAAUGGGCGCAAGCCUGAUGCAGCGACGCCGCGUGAGGGAUGACGGCCUUCGGGUUGUAAACCUCUUUCAGCACCGACGAAGCGCAAGUGACGGUAGGUGCAGAAGAAGGACCGGGCAACUACGUGCCAGCCGCCGCGGUAA
This 478-nucleotide ribosomal RNA is filed under the name uncultured bacterium. RNAcentral describes it as "partial 16S ribosomal RNA". It matches the Rfam family "Bacterial small subunit ribosomal RNA", at positions 28 to 523 of the family's 1533-position model. The record is from RNAcentral.